Molecule: ribosomal RNA, 230 nt
Filed under: Triticum aestivum (bread wheat)
Lineage: Eukaryota; Viridiplantae; Streptophyta; Magnoliopsida; Poales; Poaceae
Description: partial small subunit ribosomal RNA
Source: RNAcentral
CAGUACGCCGCGCAACUCCACAGCCACUCGCCCCCGCUCCGCUCCACUCCCCAAUCGAGCAAGGCCGAAGCCCUAGCUCGCCGCCGGCGGCCGCCAUUCCCCCCUCCCCCGCACGAGCCGAGCGACGCGCGCGGCCUCCGCCCACCCCCUCCGGCGAUGUCCCGGCGGCGGCCGAGGGGCGGGACGCAGCGGAUGGACGCCGCGAUCGACCACUUCGCCAUCAUGGGCUA